UUAAAAAUAAGCUAAAUAUAAGCUUUUGGGCUCAUACCUCAAAUAUAAAGACAAUCUUUUUUUUAAA
RNAcentral lists this transfer RNA (67 nucleotides) under Macroglossum fritzei. RNAcentral describes it as "tRNA-Met". The record is from RNAcentral. Lineage: Eukaryota; Metazoa; Arthropoda; Insecta; Lepidoptera; Sphingidae.